ACAUGAAGCCUGUAUUGUAGUGGACUGGGAAAUAUUAUGGUUUGUCAUUGGCAGUCUCUCCUGAAAAAAGAUCUGCAGAGGAAAAAAUAAACUCAAGGUAACAGUAAGUCAAGGAUGCAACUGUUAAGAUGCAUUGUUAAGAACUCAGAAAGAUUUAAGAUAGUGCCUCAUUGACCCUCUCAACUAGACAAACCGGUAUCUGACAAUCUUGAGAGCAUUGACCACAGCAGCUUCACAUGUGGUCCAAAGUUUGUUUGAAACUUUGGGUUUGGGAGACACAGAAUGCACUCCAAGCAGGUUUUUACGAAGCCAAUGAAUUUGUUAAGCAAAAACACCACCGGCUUGCGCUAAGGGACUGGUCAUUUCAAAGUCAGAAGAGGACUUGGGAACCAGACAUUUUUGUGGCUAGAGAGAAGGCUAAGAAAACUAUUAGCCAUAAACAUGAGCCACUUCUUAUCAGAAAGACAGGGACUGUCCCUGGUCCUUAAAUUAAAAGAACUAGUUGCAUGUGCCAGGCUGGAUUUCAGAAUGACUUUGGACUAUGAUGACUAGCUCCUUUCCAUUCUUUCUGUUUUUGGACGGAAGCAUCUACUGACAUGGCUAUUCAUUGCCUGUCUCCUCAUUGCAUGUUGGAUAAAUAGAGAGAAGUAACCUCUCUUUUAAGUUUACAAGUCUGGAGAUUGAGAGAAAUUACACCUGAGAAGCCUUAUUUGUACCUGAGCCAGAUGCAGACCACAUGAUACUAAACUUGGAGCUUGAUGUCAUAAUUGGAUGAGACAUUCGAUGUCUUGAGAGAGGAUGCAUGUGUUUUGAUGUAGAAAAAAUAUAAAUAAUGGUGACCAAAAGACAAAUUUCAAAUUAUGACCACAAAAUUAUCUAGUUCCCAUAAGCAUCUUCCUUCACAAUGUGGCUUUGCCCUUCCUUCCAUCAAAGAAUAGAGCUGAUUUUCCUCUCCCCUUGAAUCUGAUCUUAUAUUGCACUUGCUUUGAUCAAUAAUGUAACAAAAACAACUUUCUGUCAUCUGAUUCUAGGCCUUUAGAAACCUUGCAGCUUCUUUUUUUAGAUGUCCUAAAUCACUGUCCUAAAACCACCAGCCUGGAAUCUGAUCU
Long non-coding RNA from Phyllostomus discolor (pale spear-nosed bat), 1109 nucleotides. RefSeq lists it as uncharacterized. The record is from RefSeq and is a predicted model, not a curated record. Lineage: Eukaryota; Metazoa; Chordata; Mammalia; Chiroptera; Phyllostomidae. The transcript has 3 exons.